Molecule: ribosomal RNA, 463 nt
Filed under: uncultured bacterium
Lineage: Bacteria
Description: partial 16S ribosomal RNA
Rfam family: Bacterial small subunit ribosomal RNA
Source: RNAcentral
GACGAACGCUGGCGGCGUGCUUAACACAUGCAAGUCGAACGGAAAGGCCUUUUCGGAGGUACUCGAGUGGCGAACGGGUGAGUAACACGUGGGUGAUCUGCCCUGCACUCUGGGAUAAGCCUGGGAAACUGGGUCUAAUACCGGAUAGGACCGCACUUUAGUGUGUGUGGUGGAAAGUUUUUUCGGUGUAGGAUGAGCCCGCGGCCUAUCAGCUUGUUGGUGGGGUAAUGGCCUACCAAGGCGGCGACGGGUAGCCGGACUGAGAGGUUGGUCGGCCACAUUGGGACUGAGAUACGGCCCAGACUCCUACGGGAGGCAGCAGUGGGGAACAUUGCACAAUGGGCGCAAGCCUGAUGCAGCGACGCCGCGUGGGGGAUGACGGCCUUCGGGUUGUAAACUCCUUUCGCCAGGGACGAAGCGUUUUGUGACGGUACCUGGAGAAGAAGCACCGGCUAACUACGUG